RNAcentral lists this ribosomal RNA (253 nucleotides) under uncultured bacterium. Its description in RNAcentral is "partial 16S ribosomal RNA". It matches the Rfam family "Bacterial small subunit ribosomal RNA", at positions 524 to 776 of the family's 1533-position model. The record is from RNAcentral.
UACGAAGGGGGCUAGCGUUGUUCGGAAUUACUGGGCGUAAAGGGCGCGUAGGCGGCUGUGCAAGUCAGGUGUGAAAGCCCUGGGCUCAACCCAGGAUGUGCACUUGAUACUGCGCAGCUAGAGUGUCGGAGAGGAUGGUGGAAUUCCCAGUGUAGAGGUGAAAUUCGUAGAUAUUGGGAAGAACACCAGUGGCGAAGGCGGCCAUCUGCCUGGAAUGACGCUGAGGCGGACGAAAGCGUGGGGAGCAAACAGG